Molecule: signal recognition particle RNA, 271 nt
Filed under: Clostridiales bacterium
Lineage: Bacteria; Bacillati; Bacillota; Clostridia; Eubacteriales
Description: signal recognition particle sRNA large type
Rfam family: Bacterial large signal recognition particle RNA
About the family: The signal recognition particle (SRP) is a universally conserved ribonucleoprotein involved in the co-translational targeting of proteins to membranes. Archaeal SRP consists of a 7S RNA and homologues of the eukaryotic SRP19 and SRP54 proteins.
Source: RNAcentral
CCAUACCAGCCGGGAAAGUAGCGGCGUCCUGUAACCUGAAAUCCGCUAUAGCAGGGGUCAAUUCCCCUUAUGAGGGAUGAAUUUUGUGCGGUCAGCUCCGCCUAUCUGCGUGUUGACAAACGGGUCUUGCGCAAUCAGUCCUACGUGAACCAUGUCAGGCGGGGAACCGAGCAGCAUUAAGCGUAUUGGCUGAUGUGCCGCGAGGGCGCCUGUUUCGAGCGUAGAUGACGGGAAGCGCGUAUGAGGUGAAUUUCGAUUUCGGGGUGUAUGG